RNAcentral lists this ribosomal RNA (478 nucleotides) under uncultured bacterium. Its description in RNAcentral is "partial 16S ribosomal RNA". It matches the Rfam family "Bacterial small subunit ribosomal RNA", at positions 28 to 523 of the family's 1533-position model. The record is from RNAcentral.
GACGAACGCUGGCGACGUGCUUAACACAUGCAAGUCGAACGGUAAGGCCCUUCGGGGUACGCGAGUGGCGAACGGGUGAGUAACACGUGGGUGAUCUGCCCUGCACUUCGGGAUAAGCCUGGGAAACUGGGUCUAAUACCGGAUAGGACCCUGGGAUGCAUGUCCUGGGGUGGAAAGCUUUUGCGGUGUGGGGUGGGCCUGCGGCCUAGCAGCUUGUUGGUGGGGUGAGGGCAUACCAAGGCGACGACGGGUAGCCGGCCGGAGAGGGUGUCCGGCCACACUGGGACUGAGAUACGGCCCAGACUCCUACGGGAGGCAGCAGUGGGGAAUAUUGCACAAUGGGCGCAAGCCUGAUGCAGCGACGCCGCGUGAGGGGUGACGGCCUUCGGGUUGUAAACCUCUUUCAGCACCGACGAAGCGCAAGUGACGGUAGGUGCAGAAGAAGGACCGGCCAACUACGUGCCAGCCGCCGCCGUAA